AAACACCACACUCCCGCAGACCCAGUUGAGCCGACCACACCUUGUCAACCACCAAGAGAGAGAAUGUUUCGUCUUUUCCUUCUUACUCUGGCGUUGUGCCAUGCUGUCUUUGCAUUUCCACAGGAAGCCAAUAACGAGGAUGAACUUUCACGAGACAUGAACUGUUAAAGCGUGCCUUGGAAAGGAAGUACUUGGAUCAGGCAGCUCCUGCGGUUACAUUGGUAGAUAUCGUCAACCUUCAAACAGAACAGAGUUCCACCCUCGUAUUCAAUGACGUCACUUACGGUUCUGGUAACGCAGUGGACAAGAAUUUCAACUCGGAUCUGAUCCAGGGACGAAGCUGCGCGCACACAGCACCUCAGAACAACCCGUGGUGGAGAGUGUAUCUUCGUGAGCCUCACUGUAUUGUGCAGGUCGGCAUUGUGAACCGUGGAGACGGCGACUAUGACCGUUUGGCCGGAGCUGUGGUGCGUGUAGGCGGACCAGCGUGCGGCUCACCAGUUACCGCGCAGUCGGCCAACAUUCCCGGCGGGAUGAACCUCGUCAUUUGCGAUAAGCCAAUUGCGGGAGAUCAGAUCGUUAUUCACAUUCCAAGAGACGGGGCCAUUUUGCAGAUUUGCGAAGUCCAGGUCUGGGCCGUUCCCAUGAAAUUUUGCAUGUAGAGCAUGGAGGGUCGUGCAACCGGGAAGGACCGACAAGGCCACGGGAUCGACAAGACCACGGACAACGGACAACGGACUUUCGUUUCCACUGCCACAAUAGCUAGUCGUAUAGUCCUUUUGAUUGUCACUUUUAUCGUUCAAUUAAAUGAAUAACCAUUCCUCGAUUCUGAAUUCACAAACAAUUAUAAAAAUCACUAGUUUCUCCAAAAGCAAACUCAGACCACAUGCAUGGUCAUGCCAGUCUUUAUAUUGGUUUGGAAAAAAACACAUGCAUCAUAAGGAGAUAUUCCGACUGACUAGUGUCUAAACAAUUGAGAAAGAUUAGUUCCUCAAACCCGUCAUGAAGUUUUCAUUGGGGAGUACAUGUACAGUACUAAAAUACCAACACGGCGACUAACAUGCCACGAAUUUAAAGUGGACUAGUCAUUCUCAGUGGUCUUCAUCAUAAAAACAAUGAUAAUAUUAGAUACAUACAACAAAAGUCAGUGAUUAAAAUUACCAGUAUCGAAAAUAGCGUGACUUUUACUACCCAAUACGUUUUAGAGCUCACAGCGUUUUGGCACACUCGUCUAACAAACCUCUUUACGUAAUGAGGGAAAAGUUGCAUACUUUAAAUAAACGCAAUAAUUGUAUUGAAAACGAAAUACACUCGUUCACAAUCAGGGAUCUUGAGUUCUUUCUUCGUUCUUUUGUGCAGUAGCCUUAGAAGCACGGUAGUUCAAUUCUGUGCUAGUUCGUUAAUAAAAUAGCGUGGCAGCUAAUUCAAUAAAGCAAA
This is a long non-coding RNA of Patiria miniata (bat star), 1437 nucleotides long. RefSeq lists it as uncharacterized. NCBI's taxonomy places the organism in Eukaryota, Metazoa, Echinodermata, Asteroidea, Valvatida, Asterinidae. The transcript is spliced from 6 exons. The record is from RefSeq and is a predicted model, not a curated record.